GAAGAUGGUCGUGGGAAAGAGACAGGCGUAAGUUUGUUCGGAGUGCAUAUUUUAUUGAAGUUAAAACUAAGAUGGUUCCAAAGUGCCCAGUGACGUGUGUUGUGAUUUAUUAUAAUCAGUGAACAUCGAAAACCUACACAGGUACAAACUGCUCUAAUUCUAAUAAGAAGUCGUUCCUGUUUGUUCCAUUACUUGUGUGAGUCGUUGCUUGUGCAGUUCAGCCAUGAAGUCGUCUGGAUGACGUCACAGUUGAAGAUAUUUCCCGACUUCUACCAUUUCCAGCACAACAAGGUCGCAAAGAGAUCUGCGGGGCCUAGCUUCGAGCACCAUGAAAAUCUACUGAGGGAGCCGCAGGUGAAGUGGGCAAAGCAGCAAGCGGUCAGGUCGCGGCGGAAGAGGGACCUUCUGCCUCUCCGUCAGCGGUCUUACCGAGCGAACCUCAACGACCCGCGGUGGCCGCAGAUGUGGUACCUGAACCGAGGGCAGGGCCUGGACAUGAACGUCCAACCUGCUUGGAUGGAAGGCAUCACUGGCGUAGGCGUCGUGGUCACCAUCCUAGACGACGGGCUCGAGAAGGACCACCCUGACCUGUUCAGAAAUUACGACCCACAAGCAAGCUACGAUGUUAACAACCAUGAUGAUGACCCGAUGCCUAGGUAUGACUUAAUCGACUCUAAUCGCCACGGAACACGUUGUGCUGGUGAAGUUGCAGCCACUGCCAAUAAUUCUUUGUGUGCCGUUGGCGUAGCUUAUGGUGCUAGCGUUGGUGGUGUAAGGAUGCUGGAUGGAGAUGUGACAGACGCUGUGGAGGCCCGGUCCCUGAGUCUCAAUCCACAGCAUAUUGAUAUUUACAGCGCCUCCUGGGGACCGGAUGAUGACGGAAAGACCGUGGAUGGCCCAGGGGAACUGGCCACAAGGGCUUUCAUUGAGGGUGUCACAAAGGGCCGAUCUGGGAAAGGUUCUAUUUUUGUUUGGGCAUCUGGUAAUGGAGGUCGCGAUUAUGAUAAUUGCAACUGUGAUGGCUACACAAAUUCCAUCUGGACGCUGUCCAUCAGUAGCGCAACAGAAAAUGGGUAUGUUCCUUGGUACUCAGAGGCAUGCAGCUCAACUCUUGCUACUACGUACAGCAGCGGGGCUUCUGGAGAGAAACAGGUUGUGACUACAGAUUUACACCACCAGUGCACAAGUAGUCACACUGGAACAUCAGCCUCGGCACCAUUGGCGGCUGGCAUCUGUGCCCUGGCACUCGAAUCAAACAGAGAACUGACAUGGCGAGACAUGCAGCACAUCGUAGUUCGCACUGCACGGCCUGCCAGCCUGAAGUCUUCCGACUGGAAGGUGAAUGGUGUUGGGAGAAAUGUGAGCCAUUCUUUUGGUUAUGGGCUGAUGGACGCUUAUGAAAUGGUGAAGCUGGCUCGCAACUGGAAGACUGUACCAGAGCAGCACAAAUGUGAAGUUUCUGCACCACACACAGAGAAACUUAUACCACCAAAGAGUCAUGUGAGUCUCCAGCUUCAUGUAAGGGAGUGUGCUGGUGUUAACUUCCUUGAACAUGUUCAGGCUAAAGUAAGCCUUGCAUCAACCAGAAGAGGCGACCUUCAGAUCCAUCUAACCUCUCCAGCUGGAACCCGAGCCACUCUGUUAGCCCGUCGUCCUCAUGAUGUCUCGCGCGCCGGUUUCCAGGCCUGGCCAUUUAUGUCUGUCCAUACCUGGGGAGAGAAGCCCUUUGGCAUAUGGCAGCUAGAAAUACAUAAUGAGGGCCGUUUUCUGGGACGUGCCACUCUGCAGGAAUGGGCUCUUAUAUUUUACGGUACUGCAGUCACACCUGAUGGCCAUGGAGGUCACGGUUCACCUAUCCCGUCUCUGCGUGUUACCAACACUGGUUCUUCCUCACCAUCUAAACCUUCCCGUCCGCUGGUGCUCGUUUCCCCGCCCUAUGUUAUGCCUUCCCUGAAAAAAUAUAAGAAUUCUCAGAGAAACAAUACCAAGACAGGAAAGUUGACACCCCCAAGAACACUUAUUACAACAACCACUCCUGGCCAUACAUCUUUCUUAAAGGUGCUGCAGCCAACUCCUCCAGCCAUUCAUAAACCUAGGUUAAAAAGCACAACAGCUGCAGCUCCUGCUGCUGUUCCCAAGAGACUAAGUUCCAAUUCUACAUCUACAAUAACAACAAAAACAGUCACUACCACGACUGUCCCACCUACUCUGUAUACCAACAUCUCCCUCCCAAGUCAGCUUUCAUCAGCACCAACCACACUACCAGUUAGUUCUACCAUUUCACCCACAACAUUAACCACCACGGUCAUAUCUAAAACUACCUCUACUACCACAACUUUACAUAGUGACCUAACAAUAUUAUUAGAACCACAUUCUAACCCCCCACCUAAAGUACCAGAUAUAUUCAAACAAUAUCCUAAAAUCCAAAAAGUAUAUCCUUUAUAUUCUCUUACUAACAAGGGCAGGAUAGAUCUAUCCUCGUUUCAUCAUCCUCCUGCUAACUUGGUGCCUAAUUUGGAACUCAUUCAGGAGAACUCCCGGCUCCACCAGGGUGAAGGAACAAUGGCAGAUUGGAAGCUGGUUUUCUAUGGUACAGAAAUAGCCCCUGAAGGCGAUGAGCAUGAAGAUGAUGACAUCAAUACUGAAAUUAGUGGCAGUAAAGUAGACUUGAAGCCAAGUGAGGUCCUCAGCCGUGAUGAGGAGGAUCCAGAGCACAACAACGUGGAACCUGUUAAAGGGGGUGUGUGGAAGGAGGUUCAUCAGGUGGAUCACACUCGCAAUGAAGUACAGCGCACUACCACCGAAGAUGACACAGCCUCAGCAUCUACAGGAUGUCUUGCCCUCUCCAAGAAGAGUCAGCAAUGUAUAGUUAUUUCUUCUGGCUGAAUGUGGAUCCGUGAUUUUGAAGAAAACAACUGUUCAGGUAGGUGCUUGCUAGCCCAUUGUGUUAACCUUCCAACUGUUGUAACAUUUGUCUUAACAUUUGUGUAGAAUAGUUGUGUGUAGAGCUUAUUGAAAGGGAAGUUGAAAUAAAAAAUGUGGUGCAUAUAUUUAAAACUGAACGUGUCCAACUAUGGUAAAAAAUGUAUGUUGGUUCUAUUUAAAAUCUGUGUAAAUCAUAAUAAAACUAAAGUGACAUUGUUUGCAAAAUUUUGUUUCCCAUUGAAAGUGACGAAUUUGACAAGUCUGCAAACUCUCAGUAAUUUUGAAUAUGAUACCAGUUUUCUUGUAAUAGUGGUAAUAGAGUUCUGUUAUCAUGUUAUUAUGUAAUUUUAAUAUAUUGCCUUUAAUGGGGCCAAAGGUGUGAAUUUGGAUGCACCUAAGUAGCACAUUCACUCAAACUGUGCCUCUACUGACUGUAGAAAAUAUUUGAACAAACUGCCCAUAGCCAAUAAUAUUUAUGCAGGUAUAUAGUUCUAAUAGCAUAGCACUCAGUAUCAUUACAAUGUUUAAAGUGUAAAUGGUGAGUUCAUAAAUCAAAUUAAUGUUUUGCAUAUGAUGUGCAUAGCUGUUUCUUUACAGUUCCCCUCAGCUAUACUGAAUGUGUGUACCAGAGUAGUUCCAGAUCUUGAGGAAAAUUCAAAUCUGUGUUUGAGUGAAAGUGAUUAUAGACUUUAAAAGAAUUAUAUUUGUCCCACACUCACAAUCCUACCUGAGUGAUAAGUCAAGUGGGAACAUCCUUCUCGGUAACUUUGCACAUUUAUAUCAGUUUUAAAAGUUCUCCAAGUGCAAUAAGUUUGAGGCUGUUGGUUUCCUUCCUUGAUGUCACUGCAUUGCUUUUCUAAAAGAUUUUUUAAUUUUAAACUUUGUAUGAUUGAAAUUAUCCCAUAGUAUCAGAAUUCGAACUUCGAGAUGGGGAAUAGUCAAUUUCUUUUUUGGUGCUGAGAAUAUCAAAAUUCUUAAGAUUAUAUUCCAUAACCUUUUUAAUAAAGAAACAAAACACAGUACUUUCCAUUGUGGUUGUAUAUGUUGCGUCAUGACACAUACAGGACAUUUUUACUGUAGUAAUGAUUUGGCAGUCAUUUUCUAUUUUAUAUUGCCACCCACAAGUUACAGUGUGUAACCUGUAUCAUACAGAAGCAGGGGAUUUUUACCCUCUUGAACUGCAAGACUGUCAGCUAGACUUUAACUUCAGGGUGAAUGAUAUGCUACCUUGACACUUGGGCUGCUGGACUAUGCAUAAGCCAUAAAGCAUGGUGGUAGAGGCUAAAAGAGUUGUUUUGUUUAUAUAUUAUUAUAUAAUUGUUUGCAGUGAAACUUUGUAACGCUGUAAAUGAAAAUGUGAUGAACUUCACUAUGUACAUACAGGUAAAAUAUAAAACCCAGUUGGUUUUUAAGCAUAAAUGAAGAUGUUCUUACUGUUGGAUCAACUCUGAAUGUAUUUACCUGUUCAAACUGUAUUUUUAUUUUUAAAUUAAGUUCUUAAAUUAUAAGAACCAUAUUUCAGCAUAUGACAUCCACAGUCUAGUGGUAUGAUAUCAGAUUUUUUUCCAGACGUAUGAAUCAGAAACAAAAGUGAUUUCUCAUGGACAGUUUAGUUUUAAAAUAUGAUCCACACAUGCAGUUUAGCUGUGUAUAGUUUAGAUACUUGUGACUGUCAGCUUUGUGUGUGUUUUGCACUUAUUUGAAACUUAGCAGAUUGUUUCAAGAUACAAACAGGUGGCGGGCUUCUUAAGCUUCUAGACAUUCAUUCGAUUGGUCUCAGCCGAGCCUAAGAGAAAGUUGAUGGUUGCAAAGGAAAAUCUUCGGGGGACAACUCAAAACUGAUGAAUGUGUGUGUAAAGGGGCUGUUUCUGCACAAUGGGCGAUGCGAGGCAGCAUGUCCCGAGCGAUACUUCCCAAGUCUCGAUGCCAAGUCUCAACCUGUCUGCUCAUACUGCCACUACACCUGCAAGACAUGUUCAGGCUCAA
Non-coding RNA from Zootermopsis nevadensis, 4911 nucleotides. The record is from RefSeq and is a predicted model, not a curated record. Lineage: Eukaryota; Metazoa; Arthropoda; Insecta; Blattodea; Termopsidae.